Non-coding RNA from Heligmosomoides polygyrus, 71 nucleotides. The record is from Rfam. NCBI's taxonomy places the organism in Eukaryota, Metazoa, Nematoda, Chromadorea, Rhabditida, Heligmosomidae.
GCGCCGGUGGUGAUAGGUGAACAUCUUUGCCCGGAAAGCAGAAGAUGCGGGUUCGAGUCCCGCCUGGCGCA